This 496-nucleotide ribosomal RNA is filed under the name uncultured bacterium. RNAcentral describes it as "partial 16S ribosomal RNA". It matches the Rfam family "Bacterial small subunit ribosomal RNA", at positions 28 to 506 of the family's 1533-position model. The record is from RNAcentral.
GAUGAACGCUGGCGGCGUGCCUAAUACAUGCAAGUCGAGCGAACGGACGAGAAGCUUGCUUCUCUGAUGUUAGCGGCGGACGGGUGAGUAACACGUGGAUAACCUACCUAUAAGACUGGGAUAACUUCGGGAAACCGGAGCUAAUACCGGAUAAUAUUUUGAACCGCAUGGUUCAAAAGUGAAAGACGGUCUUGCUGUCACUUAUAGAUGGAUCCGCGCUGCAUUAGCUAGUUGGUAAGGUAACGGCUUACCAAGGCAACGAUGCAUAGCCGACCUGAGAGGGUGAUCGGCCACACUGGAACUGAGACACGGUCCAGACUCAUACGGGAGGCAGCAGUAGGGAAUCUUCCGCAAUGGGCGAAAGCCUGACGGAGCAACGCCGCGUGAGUGAUGAAGGUCUGCGGAUCGUAAAACUCUGUUAUUAGGGAAGAACAUAUGUGUAAGUAACUGUGAACAUCUUGACGGUACCUAAUCAGAAAGCCACGGCUAACUACGU